CAUAUGCCAUGAAUGUGGCCCUAAAAAGAAAAAAAAAUAAAUAAAUAAAAUAAAAAUAAAAGAUAAAAAGUUUGGUGGCCACUACUCUAUACGGCAGAGUGAUUUUUAAAAAUACAAAUCUGAUUGUAUUGAUUAGUUAAUACAAUCAAUUAAUUAAUAUGAUUAAUUUUUUUUUUUUGGCUUUUUUUUCCUGAGGCACAUGGAAGUUCCCAGGCUAGGGGUCAUAUCAGAGCUUCAGCUGCCAGCCUAUGCCAGAGCCACAGCAACGCAGGAUCCGAGCCGCGUCUGCAACCGACACCACAGCUCACGGCAACGCCCGAUCAUUAACCCACUGAACAAGGGCAGAGACCAAACCCACAACCUCAUGGUUCCUAGUUGGAUUCGUUAACCACUGUGCCACGACCGGAACUCCUCUCCGCCCCUCCUUGAAGCCAGGAUUUUCCCCACGUGAAAUCUUCACACCAUCUUCCCUCUGCCUCCACGAAGCUCUAGGUCUUGGGUUCAAUGUUGUUUUCUUCCCUGACACACCCCUGCCCUGGCACAUCUCUCUCCAAUCCAGAAGUUCCUGGUUUAAAUUCUCUCUUAGCGCCCUGCAUUUUCCAUCAUGGCACUUAGCAAAGAGGUGCCUUUACAUCUACACAGUUUAUUUAUUCCAUAUAUUGCUGUAACCCCGGCACCUAAUAAGGGCACAGUAAGUACUGAACAAAAGAAUGAACUAAAAUAUUAACUCUCACUCCCACAUUUACUCCAAAGAGUUAGGGAGUCUGGGUGGAUCUUCAGAGCAUAACCUUGAGAAACUGCUAACCUUUCUGAAGCUCAUCUGCCCCCCACACCUGGACACCCUAGGAUGGGAUCCAAUUAACCACCUUUUGCUCUAGGAGGCUUUUUGAGAGGUCCCUGAACAGUGAGUCCCCAGCCCCUCUGAAGAGCUUUAUUACAGCACUUAGUGAUAAGGAAACCCCUGCUUCCAUCUCUGCUUCUGUGCCAAGGCGGAUGGUCUGGAGGGCUUGGACCUCACUGUUCACCUCUGGGAGCGCUGGGGAGGAGCUGUUUCACAGGCGCUUAAAGAGCUCUGGUGUUGCAAGUUAUUUAAAACAAAAAAGUUUCAGACUGCUGAAUUUCGAGAUUUCUCAGAAAGUUAAAACCAGCCCUCGGAACAAGGCUGGUGGGGCAUCUUUGUAAGGCUUAUUGUGGUAUAUGCAAUACUUACACCCACCCUUCUUGAGAACUGGCUUUGUCAAGGGGGUGAAAGCAGAGGAUGAACAGUCUGCCUGGUUCUGCUUUUUUCUUCUCCCUCCUAGAGAAACUAACCUGAGAGAGCAGGUAACUCAGGGACUGAGCGUCAACCUGGAGCAAACCGCAGAGUGUACUCGGAAGUUGCUUUUGCCCACACAUACAGGGAUGGAAGGAAGAGGUGAAAAAAAGAAGGACGGCCUGGACCUCUCUGUGGAAAUGACACAACAUGGAAACAUCAGAGAGUUAGAAAAAUGCUUCCUUGGGAUUUAGGAUGAAUUGAAAACAAGCCCAUUGUUUUUGUGUCGGGACAAGGACCUCAUUCAGAUCACCUGUAGUCACACCUAACGACUUUGUCCCCAAGCAGUGAAGUUGAUGGGGAUGGUAGCUCCCCGUUUCUACACACAGGAGAUUCUUCAUCUUAGCCCCUGAGCUAUUUAACAUUUAAGCUUGGAUCCUAAUAAGGGUUCGACUUGCCGGCCUCAGUACCAAGAACUGCGGUGGAACAGUGACCAUACAAGGGCAGGAAGCCUUCCAGAAGGGAGGGGGGGGCACAGCUUCAGCACAGCCUUAUGUAACCACAAGGGGAGCGAUGCGAAGGGAAAAGCUCCUUCUGCCUUCCUUGAAAAUAUUAAAUUCUAAAAAUGUCUCGAGGACACCUAACAAGCCCAUUUGAAUGGCUGAAGUUAGAAGCGGCAAUAUAAUUAGACCCAGCAAAUCAAUUGAAUCCGAUGGGCUUAUGUGGCUGCACUUUUAAAUAACUUCAGAUACAUGGUGUCCUCCAGAAAUGGUUGUAAAAAUAUAUGUCCAGUACAUUUCAGUAAUAGCAGAAUAAAGGUCAUUUCCUUUU
RNAcentral lists this long non-coding RNA (2083 nucleotides) under Sus scrofa (pig). RNAcentral describes it as "lncRNA (ENSSSCG00040074647.1, ENSSSCG00050006082.1, ENSSSCG00180015714.1, ENSSSCG00190036783.1)". Lineage: Eukaryota; Metazoa; Chordata; Mammalia; Artiodactyla; Suidae. The record is from RNAcentral.